RNAcentral lists this ribosomal RNA (489 nucleotides) under uncultured Pseudomonas sp. RNAcentral's name for it is "bacterial SSU rRNA". It matches the Rfam family "Bacterial small subunit ribosomal RNA", at positions 232 to 713 of the family's 1533-position model. Lineage: Bacteria; Pseudomonadati; Pseudomonadota; Gammaproteobacteria; Pseudomonadales; Pseudomonadaceae. The record is from RNAcentral.
UAGGUCGGAUUAGCUAGUUGGUGAGGUAAUGGCUCACCAAGGCGACGAUCCGUAACUGGUCUGAGAGGAUGAUCAGUCACACUGGAACUGAGACACGGCCCAGACUCCUACGGGAGGCAGCAGUGGGGAAUAUUGGACAAUGGGCGAAAGCCUGAUCCAGCCAUGCCGCGUGUGUGAAGAAGGUCUUCGGAUUGUAAAGCACUUUAAGUUGGGAGGAAGGGCAGUAAGCUAAUACCUUGCUGUUUUGACGUUACCGACAGAAUAAGCACCGGCUAACUCUGUGCCAGCAGCCGCGGUAAUACAGAGGGUGCAAGCGUUAAUCGGAAUUACUGGGCGUAAAGCGCGCGUAGGUGGUUCGUUAAGUUGGAUGUGAAAGCCCCGGGCUCAACCUGGGAACUGCAUCCAAAACUGGCGAGCUAGAGUACGGUAGAGGGUGGUGGAAUUUCCUGUGUAGCGGUGAAAUGCGUAGAUAUAGGAAGGAACACCAGU